This 253-nucleotide ribosomal RNA is filed under the name uncultured bacterium. RNAcentral's name for it is "partial 16S ribosomal RNA". It matches the Rfam family "Bacterial small subunit ribosomal RNA", at positions 524 to 776 of the family's 1533-position model. The record is from RNAcentral.
CACGUAGGGAGCAAGCGUUGUCCGGAUUUAUUGGGCGUAAAGAGCUCGUAGGUGGUUCGGUAAGUCAGGUGUGAAAUCCCCGGGCUCAACCUGGGAAUGGCAUUUGGGACUGCAAGGCUCGAGUUUGGCAGAGGAGACUGGAAUUCCUGGUGUAGCAGUGAAAUGCGUAGAUAUCAGGAGGAAUACCGAUGGCGAAGGCAGGUCUCUGGGCUGAAACUGACGCUCAUGCACGAAAGCGUGGGGAGCAAACAGG